ACGGAAUAGAUACCCAGGUAGUCCAUGCCGUAAACUAUGGAUACUAGCUGUUGGGGGUAUCGACCCCUCCAGUAGCGAAAGCUAAACGCGUUAAGUAUCCCGCCUGUGGAGUACGAUCGCAAGAUUAAAACAUAAAGGAAUUGACGGGGACCCGCACAAGCGGUGGAGCGUGUUCUUUAAAUUCGAUGCUAAACGAAGAACCUUACCAGGGCUUGACAUCCCUUGAAUUACUCCGAAAGGAGUGAGUGCUUUAUUGAGCAAGGUGACAGGUGAUGCAUGGCCGUCGUCAGCUCGUGUCGUGAGAUGUUUGGUUAAGUCCAUCAACGAGCGCAACCCUUAUACUUAGUUG
RNAcentral lists this ribosomal RNA (349 nucleotides) under uncultured bacterium. RNAcentral's name for it is "bacterial SSU rRNA". It matches the Rfam family "Bacterial small subunit ribosomal RNA", at positions 772 to 1117 of the family's 1533-position model. The record is from RNAcentral.